CCCUGCUAACACACGACGUAACAGUUACGUAACGUACUGGUAAUUUUUGGUAAUUCCAUGACUUACCAAUUGACAACGUAACUACGACGUCGCAUUCCCGUAAUUUUAUUACCAUCACAUUACCAACUCACAACGUCGUCAGUACGUCCUUCCAACGUGACCAGAUAACCAAGAACGUCCCAGAUAGGUCCUCUGUUGGUAAUAUAUUGGUAACUUCAUGACUUACUGGCAACGUAACUACAACGUCGUAUGCACGUAAUAUCAUUACCAUAUUUUUUGUACGGUCUUUAUAUGCUCUGAGUAUAGAGCUAUUUAAAAAGUGUGAUUAAACUUCAGACACAAGAUUAAACGUUCCUUAAAGAUAAAAUAUGUUUAUUUUCAACAAGUCAGGACAUGCUUUUAAGCUUUUAAUGACGUGACAUACAGGCGCGCGCUUCCACAACUGACGCACCGCGCGCACAGUAUUGACAAGAAAAGAGUUGUGAAACUUUCUAUCUCGUAUGGAGUUAUAACGUGAAAUAAUGACACAGACUGGCUCAUCAUCUCAUCUGCAGCAGAGACUGUUGUAUCAGAAGGACAGCGCGUUUGUUUAACGCACUUUUCACUUCAACUGUGUCUGACAGGAGAAUUUAGCUUUCUGAGCCGUUGAGUUACCAUGGCAACCGCGUACACAUCAGCUGCCUGGAGGAGAGGACUCGUCUGGUCUGACAUUUUUUCUGUUUCUCGUCUGUUAUACCAAAGAAAAGGCCAACAACUGCGACAGAUUUUGAUUUCAGGAGUGUCUUAAAAACCCUCUAAAACAGAGGGGAAGUUCCAAGAAAAUGUCUAAUGGGAGCUGCUGACAGAGAUAGAAAACACAGUUUGUUUAUUUCUAAUAAGGAGCUGGAGGCCGUGAAGAAACAGAUCCACGAUAUCGUGGAGAAGCAGGCCCAGAUGAGCAAGUGGAGAGCUGUGCUGGAAAUAUUCAGGGGUUGAUGCUCAUAAGUCCAGGGUAAGUAUACAGCUAACCCUACUACCACCUCUACUCUUUGUGGUUCUCUGCAAAGGCCCGGUGUAUCCAGGACACCAUCUUCCCAGAUGUCCUUCACCCUAUUUCACAGUGUAAGACAUGAACCAGGCCCUGGGCGACGACCUCUCUCCAUCUGCCGCCUCCGGUCCUCAGGAUCUCCGCCAGAACCCAAUUCGCUCCACUUCGCGAGACAGAACACAACACUGUGAUCAUCGGAGACUCCAUCGUCCGGCACGUUCGUGCUAUGUUAGCUGAAGGUAAAGUCCACACUCACUGUUUCCCUGGUGCUCAUGUUCUUGAUAUUUCUGCACAGAUUUCCGUGAUCCUGAAGGGUGAGGGGAGCAUCGGAGUGGACAUGCUUCACGCCGGCGUUAACGACACAAUGCUGCGGCAGACGGAGACACUGAAGAGAGACUUCAGGAGCCUGAUCGAGACGGUGCACAGCACAUCACCUGCAUGAUGAUCAUCAUGUCAGGACCACUUCCCAUAUAUAGACGAGGAAAUGAAAGGUUCAGCAGACUUUUUGCUUUAAACGAAUGGUUAUUGUCAUGGUGUAAAGAACAGAAACUGCUUUUUGUUAAUAAUUGGGAUCUUUUCUGGGAGCAUCCUAGGCUUUUUAGAUCUCCUGUUGGACAACAUCUCCAGGACACUUCGCUCCAUGUGACUAGGCAGUUUGUGAAGACAGAUAAUCAGGAGAAGUCAGUUCCAGAUCCACCUCCACACCAGACCUCUAUCUCACAAGGAUUAAUGUCUACUAGCAUAUUGUGUUCUCUUCAGACUUCGGGGGAUGCAGAUAUUACUCAGGGACACGAACACAUGAAUAUUGCAAGAAUAGAGAAAGUAAGAUAUAUUAUAUAUAUAUUUAGAUAUAUUUUUGUGGCAGUGUGAACUGGCCAUAAUGCUGUAUGAUAGGUGUGAGAUUCAUUAAACUUGAUUUGGUAUAAUACAUCUGUUCAUAAGCUAUUGGAUAUUAAUUUCAAUGAAUUAUUUGUAGUGGUUUGGUUAAGGGUGUGAUUAGCUGAUGUAUUAUUGUGGGAGCUUGUGAUUAGUUGAUAAAUGUGUUUAUUGUUAAUGAUAAUAUUUAAAUGCAAUGUGCUGAGUGCUUACUAAGACUUGCAUGUUUGUGCAUAAUGUUUUGACCCUGGAUGCUUACAGAAGAGUAUAGAUAUUUAAAUAUAUGGAAAUGUAUUUAUUAUUAAUAUAUCACAAUCUAUGUGCUUCUGUUUGGGCUGAAUGCUUUCAUUCAUAUGUCGCUGUAUAUCCUGUUUUUAUUAAUAAUCUGGGUGUAUUACUGUUCAUAUUUGCUUGUUAAUAAAUUAACUGAAUUC
Molecule: long non-coding RNA, 2337 nt
Organism: Carassius auratus (goldfish)
Lineage: Eukaryota; Metazoa; Chordata; Actinopteri; Cypriniformes; Cyprinidae
Exons: 5
Source: RefSeq, a predicted model, not a curated record